Molecule: microRNA precursor, 150 nt
Filed under: Gossypium arboreum
Lineage: Eukaryota; Viridiplantae; Streptophyta; Magnoliopsida; Malvales; Malvaceae
Description: MIR7504 microRNA precursor family
Rfam family: MIR7504 microRNA precursor family
Source: Rfam by way of RNAcentral
AAUAGUUUUAUGCCACAUCAGUAUUCUUAUCCUGAAUUUCAGUAUUUUAAUUUGGAUUUGAUUUUCUUCAGGAUAAAAUCCUGAAAUUCAGGAUAAGAAUAUAAAAUCUUGAAAUUCAGGAUAAGAAUACUGAUAUGGCAUAAAACUAUU